Molecule: long non-coding RNA, 417 nt
Filed under: Fukomys damarensis (Damara mole-rat)
Lineage: Eukaryota; Metazoa; Chordata; Mammalia; Rodentia; Bathyergidae
Description: lncRNA (ENSFDAG00000023009.1)
Source: RNAcentral
AGAGAGCACAGUUCCUUAGGGGACAACAGCUCCUCAGUUCCUGGUGCCUCCACGAGGGUAAAGAAUCAUUUCAUCGCACUUCUCCUGGGAAGUGAUUAGUAACUCUUCUGGGACUUAACUGCCUCCUGUACACAGGUACAAAGGCAGGAAGCGCAAGGAAUUUUGAAAGGACAGCCAGGAGGAUCCCCCAUCUUCAGAUGUUUUGCAGAAUUUUUGGCGUCAGUGUGAAGCAUCGGAGAAGAGGGGACCUUCACUUCUUGCCAACAGUGGAUCCUCUGCACUGGGCUAUGCAUUAACCCAGAAUUAUCCAGAAACAUGGCUGUUUCUACACCCUGAACAUACCCCAUUCCACACUGCUGAAUCUUCAAAGAUCAGAGAAAUUAAAGGAUUCAUUUUGGCUCAGGCAAAACAGACAGG